RNAcentral lists this ribosomal RNA (254 nucleotides) under uncultured bacterium. RNAcentral describes it as "partial 16S ribosomal RNA". It matches the Rfam family "Bacterial small subunit ribosomal RNA", at positions 524 to 776 of the family's 1533-position model. The record is from RNAcentral.
UACGUAGGGUGCAAGCGUUGUCCGGAUUUAUUGGGCGUAAAGAGCUCGUAGGCGGUUCGAUAAGUCGGGUGUGAAACCCCCAGGCUCAACCUGGGGCCGCCACUCGAUACUGUCGUGACUCGAGUCCGGUAGGGGACCAUGGAAUUCCUGGUGUAGCGGUGAAAUGCGCAGAUAUCAGGAGGAACACCAGCAGCGAAGGCGGUGGUCUGGGCCGGUACUGACGCUGAGGAGCGAAAGCGUGGGGAGCGAACAGG